AUUGAACGCUGGCGGCAGGCUUAACACAUGCAAGUCGAGCGGGGGAAGGUAGCUUGCUACCGGACCUAGCGGCGGACGGGUGAGUAAUGCUUAGGAAUCUGCCUAUUAGUGGGGGGCAACAUCUCGAAAGGGAUGCUAAUACCGCAUACGUCCUACGGGAGAAAGCAGGGGAUCUUCGGACCUUGCGCUAAUAGAUGAGCCUAAGUCGGAUUAGCUAGUUGGUGGGGUAAAGGCCUACCAAGGCGACGAUCUGUAGCGGGUCUGAGAGGAUGAUCCGCCACACUGGGACUGAGACACGGCCCAGACUCCUACGGGAGGCAGCAGUGGGGAAUAUUGGACAAUGGGGGGAACCCUGAUCCAGCCAUGCCGCGUGUGUGAAGAAGGCCUUAUGGUUGUAAAGCACUUUAAGCGAGGAGGAGGCUACUUUAGUUAAUACCUAGAGAUAGUGGACGUACUCGCAGAAUAAGCACCG
Molecule: ribosomal RNA, 472 nt
Filed under: Acinetobacter baumannii
Lineage: Bacteria; Pseudomonadati; Pseudomonadota; Gammaproteobacteria; Moraxellales; Moraxellaceae
Description: bacterial SSU rRNA
Rfam family: Bacterial small subunit ribosomal RNA
Source: RNAcentral